Molecule: long non-coding RNA, 454 nt
Organism: Rosa rugosa (rugosa rose)
Lineage: Eukaryota; Viridiplantae; Streptophyta; Magnoliopsida; Rosales; Rosaceae
Exons: 5
Source: RefSeq, a predicted model, not a curated record
AGAAUCAACCAGUGGUGAUCGCUUUUCUGAAGUUAUAGCUGAAUCUACAGUAUUGAGUACUCUAAUACCCAGAAAUCAAUCAGAUCUGUCCGUUUUUUUUGUUGUGGCCUGCAUCUUGUCUUGUGCUUUUGAGUGGGCUUCUCACUCCCCCAGAAACUCCACUUUUCCCUUCAUCAGAUGGAAGUGAAUCUCAACCAAUCUUAGCUGCUGCAAGAAGCAGUGCUUUAAAUAGAUCAACUUCCUCAGCCAAGCCUUCAAGGUGCUGUUGCGUGGUGCGGGAAGCUAAAUGCCAUAGCUUGUGCCUCAGAAACUUGUGCAAGAAUUCCAAGAUGCGGUUCAUGAUGUGUCUCAGCAUAUGGAAGAGGUUCUUUGCAUUAUAAUCUCUUUGUGUUCGAUCUGUGGCAUUUGUCUUCCUCUUACCAUAAGCUCUAUCUACUGUGUUUUGAUUCCAGGU